UGGGCUGUGGCUCCGUGGAAGAGUGCUCGCCUCACAUGUGUGAGGCCCUGGGUUCAAUUCUCAGCACUGCAU
Non-coding RNA from Ictidomys tridecemlineatus (thirteen-lined ground squirrel), 72 nucleotides. Lineage: Eukaryota; Metazoa; Chordata; Mammalia; Rodentia; Sciuridae. The record is from Rfam.